AAUCCAUGCAUUGGGCACUUUCGAAUUAAAUCUUUGAAUCUUUACCAAGCUUCAUAUAAUAUUUCAUCUUCUAAUUUUUGAAAAGAUGUAAUAUCAUUUCUCAACUU
This is a non-coding RNA of Gossypium raimondii (Peruvian cotton), 107 nucleotides long. NCBI's taxonomy places the organism in Eukaryota, Viridiplantae, Streptophyta, Magnoliopsida, Malvales, Malvaceae. The record is from Rfam.